This is a long non-coding RNA of Podarcis muralis (Common wall lizard), 1847 nucleotides long. RefSeq lists it as uncharacterized. The record is from RefSeq and is a predicted model, not a curated record. Lineage: Eukaryota; Metazoa; Chordata; Lepidosauria; Squamata; Lacertidae.
CCUCCCAAGCCUGAAACCCCGGAGAGACAAUGUCACGAUGCUGGGACAGUGGUCCUCCUCCACCUAGCUUCCUGUGGAACUAAUGAAUCACAUUGACGAAGCAUUACUAGAACUGACAUCUCUCUCUUUUUUGUCACGUCGGUGGUGCUAGAGAAGCAAAUGCAGUCUCUCUCCCAACCCAACCCCGGGAAUCGUGUCUAUUGAUUUACCUACCACAACUGGGAAGAAUAUCCAAUUACUCCCCCCUUUUAACUCUCUCCACACCUGGUUAGUGACGCGAUCCUCCCUACUGCUAUACGAGUGUCCGUCCCCCCGCUCCUUUUCUCCUGAAUGGGUGCGCAAAGGAGGAAGCUCCUGUCCAUCUCGUCAAGUCUCCAUCUUACACACACACACAGGCACACCUGGCACCUCCCCGCUCCUCCCAUUGGCAAGGCCUCCUUCCCUGAGCCAACCCGAGCGGAGGCUCCCUCCCUCAGCUUCCCCCCGACGGCGCAGCGCGCUCACCUGUCCGGGGCGCCGACGACAGGAUGGCGUGCACGCCGAACUUGAGGAAGGGCGCGUCGCUGGCGGGCGAGGCGGAGGCGGGCGCCGAGCAGCCCCGUCGCGCAGCGCCGUCGGAGUUGGCCGGCUCGGCCGACGAGGGUCCUGGCGGGCCCGUCCGGGAGGGGCUGGCGCCCGACAGAGGCGGUGGGGACAGGCUGGCCGGCGGCGGAACGCCGCCGCCGCGAGGCAGAAAGAAGGGAUCUCGGAUAAAACAGCAGAGACGAGACUUGGCAAAGGAACCUGGAGGCGAGAGUUACAUGCUUCCACCCCUUCCAUUCAGACUGGCCAACCCUGAACGACCAUGUUCUCAAAUACACAGACGAAGGAUGUGAUCAGGUCAAAACUUUUAAGCCACGCAAAGCAAUCAAGCAGAGAUUAAGCAUCGUCCAAGCCUUCCCCCUGCAAACAGCUGAGCAGUCAUGACUGUGGUCCACAAGUAGACGGAGCAUAGGGCUUCAAGCUCAUCAGCUUCAUUGGGAGUCCAUCACCUAGUCCUGCUCUUCCAGCUUCAGUUUCUAAUGUGUCAGAUGAGCACAUCAACAGCCUAUGCCAGCCUUCCCCAACCUGAUGCUCUCUAGAUGUUUAGGACUACAGCUCCAUCAGCACUGAAGAACUUGAUCACACAGUAAGUUACACAGAAGUAAGAAGCAAGAUUUAAUCCUUCUGUAUGAUACAUACUAACACAAGAACAAGCAUAAUCUUGAAUGCUAAGUUUUAGGAAGCUCUUGCAAUCCUUGCUGUGAUUUCCUGCACCACAUUUACAAGGUCAAUCAGUGAUUACAGUAACUGAAGUCUGGACUAGAAGAACAUAAUAAAUGCUUGCCAAAGGAUCAUCUAGUCCAGCACUCAAUAUCACCCUUACCUUUGUUGCACAGCAUUGAUACAAUUCACUCUAAUACCAGUUGAGACCCAGUAUAUGUCAGGUAUAUCUACCAUCUCUGGAUACUGGUUAAAUCCUAAUGAGAGUGAAGCUGUUCUAGGGUGGACAAUCUACACAUGGAAUUAUGUUAAUGCUGAGACUGUAAAUGCUAUUAAAACAUUCAUAAGCUACUUUGUACUAUCUAAGCCAUGUUGAGAACAUACUGUUGAAAAGUGGUAUACAGAUAUUCUAGAAAUAUAUAAAUACAUAAUUUCUCAAGCUUUUCUUCGUAAUAAUGGUGCUUCAACCCAGCUGAUCACUAAUAACCAUCUUCAGUUUCCCUUCAUUCAAUAAUAUCCUAGACAACCAAACCAGAAGGCCCGUAUAGUUAAAGCUAUGGUUUUCCCAGUAGUGAUGUAUGGAAGUGAGAGCUGGACCAUAAAGA